RNAcentral lists this ribosomal RNA (449 nucleotides) under uncultured bacterium. Its description in RNAcentral is "partial 16S ribosomal RNA". It matches the Rfam family "Bacterial small subunit ribosomal RNA", at positions 29 to 523 of the family's 1533-position model. The record is from RNAcentral.
AACGAACGCUGGCGGCAUGCCUAACACAUGCAAGUCGAACGAGACCUUCGGGUCUAGUGGCGCACGGGUGCGUAACGCGUGGGAAUCUGCCCCUCGGUUCGGAAUAACAGUGAGAAAUUACUGCUAAUACCGGAUGAUGACUUCGGUCCAAAGAUUUAACGCCGGGGGAUGAGCCCGCGUAGGAUUAGGUAGUUGGUGGGGUAAGGGCGUACCAAGCCGACGAUCGUUAGCUGGUCUGAGAGGGUGAUCAGCCACACUGGGACUGAGACACGGCCCAGACUCUUACGGGAGGCAGCAGUGGGGAAUAUUGGACAAUGGGCGAAAGCCUGAUCCAGCAAUGCCGCGUGAGUGAUGAAGGCCUUAGGGUUGUAAAGCUCUUUUACCAGGGAUGAUAAUGACAGUACCUGGAGAAUAAGCUCCGGCUAACUCCGUGCCAGCCGCCGCGGUAA